UUUCUUUUGUAUAAGUUAAAAGGUAUGACCUGCCCAAUGACGUUAAGUUUAAUGGCCGCGGUAAUUUGACCGUGCAAAGGUAGCAUAAUCAUUAGUUUUUUAAUUGGAGGCUGGAAUGAAUGGUUUGACGAAAUAUAUAUUGUCUUUAUUAUAUUUUUAUAAUUUAAUUAUUAAGUGAAAAAGCUUAAAUGUUUUUGUGGGACGAGAAGACCCUAUAGAGUUUAAUAUGAAUUUUAAUAGUGUAUUUUUAAUUUUUGAUAUUAUAAUUUAUAUUUUGUUGGGGUGAUGUAAAGAUAGUUUUAGCUCUUUAUUUAUUUUAUUAUUAAUUUAUAUGUAUUUGAUCCUUUUUUUUGGAUUAUAAGAUAAAAUUACCUUAGGGAUAACAGCGUAAUAUUUUUGGAGAGUUCAAAUUGAUGAAUAUGAUUGCGA
RNAcentral lists this ribosomal RNA (429 nucleotides) under Euthyrrhapha pacifica. RNAcentral describes it as "partial 16S ribosomal RNA". The record is from RNAcentral. Lineage: Eukaryota; Metazoa; Arthropoda; Insecta; Blattodea; Corydiidae.